This is a long non-coding RNA of Mus musculus (house mouse), 749 nucleotides long. RefSeq annotates it as predicted gene, 39896. The transcript is spliced from 3 exons. The record is from RefSeq and is a predicted model, not a curated record. NCBI's taxonomy places the organism in Eukaryota, Metazoa, Chordata, Mammalia, Rodentia, Muridae.
UUUUCCUGUCACUUGGCCUCUGGUUAUUGUCCUGGGUGUAAUGGAGUGGAAAACUCUCUACACAGCUCCCUCUGACAGGGAAUUUCUAAUCUCAGAAAACUUAAUGGUUUUUGUCAACCUGAUUGUCCAGCGAGAGCGGAUUAGGGGAAUGACUUCCCUUGUCACUGGAAAGUUGACUCGCUUCACGGCAUUUUUCCUGGUGCCAGUGGGAGGCAUGAUCGAUACAAGACAGACCCAAAUACUUACCUGUGGUCUCGGGGCUGAGGACAAAGGUUGGGAGUUCCAUUUAAGUGCCUUCAGCCAUUUCCAAGUGGACGGGCGUGAUGUGCAUUUAGCGGUUCAGGCUGGUGACCCGAGCGAGCUCUGCAGUCUGGGAGCAUGCUGGCAAUCAAGUGUCUCCUACACAGCGGAGCAGAGGCCUCCAGGCUCAGUGAAGGAGGUGAAAUUUGUCAAUGUACUUAAGGGUCAGCUGCCCUGAACCACUUCCCGGCCAAGUUCCAUGUCCUGCUUAAGGGCUGGAGAGAUGGCUCAGCAGUUAAGAGCACUUGCUGCUCUUACAGAAGAUCCUGGUUCAGUUUCCAGCACCCUUAUGAUAGCGUAAAGCCAUUCGCCAUGAUUCCAGUCCUAAGGAACUUGAUGCCUUCUUCUGAUCUCUGAGGGUACCAGACAUGUACUUGGUGCACAGAUAUAUACACAGGCAAAACAUUUACACACAUAAAAAUAAAAUAAAAUUCUUUCCUGACAAAAAA